Molecule: ribosomal RNA, 460 nt
Filed under: uncultured bacterium
Lineage: Bacteria
Description: partial 16S ribosomal RNA
Rfam family: Bacterial small subunit ribosomal RNA
Source: RNAcentral
CCUACGGGUGGCAGCAGUGAGGAAUAUUGGUCAAUGGACGAGAGUCUGAACCAGCCAAGUAGCGUGAAGGAUGACUGCCCUAUGGGUUGUAAACUUCUUUUAUAUGGGAAUAAAAUGUUCCACGUGUGGGAUUUUGUAUGUACCAUAUGAAUAAGCAUCGGCUAACUCCGUGCCAGCAGCCGCGGUAAUACGGAGGAUGCGAGCGUUAUCCGGAUUUAUUGGGUUUAAAGGGUGCGUAGGUGGGUUGUUAAGUCAGUUGUGAAAGUUUGCGGCUCAACCGUAAAAUUGCAGUUGAAACUGGCGGUCUUGAGUACGAGAGAGGUAGGCGGAAUGCGUGGUGUAGCGGUGAAAUGCUUAGAUAUCACGAAGAACUCCGAUUGCGAAGGCAGUUCACUGGACUGCAACUGACACUGAGGCACGAAAGUGUGGGUAUCGAACAGGAUUAGAUACCCUAGUAGUC